This 1681-nucleotide long non-coding RNA is filed under the name Pelobates cultripes (western spadefoot toad). Lineage: Eukaryota; Metazoa; Chordata; Amphibia; Anura; Pelobatidae. The record is from RNAcentral.
CCUUAGUCUGUCACAGUCAGCAUAUUAUGUAAGUAUUCAAUAUCCCUUCAGUCAGCAAUAAUCAUGUUAUAAACCUUAUAAAAGCAUAAAAUACAUAUAAACAAGUUAACUAUUUAAUAUUCUUACAUUCCCCUCUUUGAGCAAUAAAACAAUUGCUCAUCUUAUCGAUAAAAUCUUACCAGGACAGAGAAACAUCCACAUGGUAUUUUCAGGGGUGCUAGUCACUCCCUGCGGGACUUUCAUUAAUUUAUUCACCUCGAUUCCCAUGUGGUAAUUCCUAAGGCCCAGUUUAAAGAUGGGUUAAUACCCUACAGUGGCAGAGAGGAGAAUUUUUAAUUGUUUCUGUUCUGCAUUAUGGAUUAAUUUCUGUACUCUCUUCCUCAAUGUACAACUAAGGUGACAGUUAUAUAAAAUCAUACACAAUAAAAUCAGGACUAUAAUAACAAAAUGAUAGAAGAAUGAUUUCAUUAUCUGAGAUCCAGUAGGGGACCAACCAGUAAAGCAUUGUACCAAUGAUGGGCUAAAUCAUUCUGAAUUUGUGAACUCACCUUAAGGAGUUCUCCUUUUAGGAUAUGUGUGGCUACCUGUGUAUGUUAUCUUUGGGAAAAAUAUAGUCCCCUGUGUAUGUGGGUGCCCACCAGGUUAAAUUCUUGGCAAAAAGAUAAUAAACUGGUACUGGUAAUGUGUUAAAUUGACAAGCUAAUUUAACAUCCUUUGAUGUAUGAUAUAAUGUAAAAUAACAUGAGCAUGAAAAAUGUGAAACAUUACCAGUUAACCAUCCAUUGCAUUUACUGGAUUGGGGUUUUAGAAGUAACCAUUCAUUAUCUGUGAGGUUAAGCAUCCCUCUAAUCUUCUCUAGUUUAGGAAUCAUUAGUGUGUUUUCUAAUGCCAAUCCUUGUUGUUGUAUCCAUAAAUACCUGAUGGCACAAGUACUCCAGUUACUUAGACCUGUAGUGAAUUUCAUAGUUGCAACAGUUAAAUUAUCUAAAUAAUUAUACAUUGAUUUAUCUAAAUCCAAUCCUAUAACCUGUGAUUUAACAACAAUUGGAGCCCAAUUUGCAGUAGCAUGGAAACCAGUCCCUAUAUGCAUGCUGGCUGUGUUUAACUUAUUCUUGAGGGUCUCCAUAUCUAUAACUAUUUAGUAUACCCAUAGUGGUUCCAGCACCAUCUAACAGUGUGUCAUACCAUUCCCUUUUCUGCCUUUUGUUUGCUGUGUUACAUAAUGUUACAACAAGAGUAGUGACUUUUAAUGACACAUGUACAGCUUGUAAGAAGGCAGUUGUAUUAACACAUGUGGACGGAAUAGGUGUGUGUGUGUGUCGUGUUUGACUUUUGGUUCUAUGAUAGUGGAUGAAGGACAGUAAUAAGGUGUAAAAAUAUAAGGUAGUGUAUAGUUCUCAAUUGCAGUGUCGUUCAUAAUGACUAACAUUUGUCCCCUUUUCCAAUUAAUGAUACCAGUUAUAUAAUCAUUAUUAAAAGUAAUAAGGCAUGUCUGUUUACAUUGAUAUGCAACCUUAACUGUGCACAUUUCUGCGUUAUAAGAUCUAACAAUUUUCUGUGAACCUUUAAACAAACAUAAUGCAUCGGUUUCAUUAGCUGUAGACACAUUUCAUAUGGGUAACUGGUACUUAUAAGGGUUACUAUUUGUCCAAUUCAUCCAAAUGCGUUCAGUGAAUGAAUG